AUUUGGCUUUUUUUUCCAGAAAAGUACUUGGCGGCAUUGCUAAAGUCGGUCUCAAACUUCUUGGAUGGGAUCGUGAUUUUUUUGGAAAACUGGCCUAUCUGAAAAGCGAGGACAGCGACUCGUUUCAAGAAUUUUUGGAGAAUGCGAAGGAUGAAUUCGAAGACGAAUUGUCGGAUGACGACAUGAACAAAUGGUUUCUGCAUUGAAUUCAGUCUCUGGAAUGCAGUCUGGACGAAAUUGAAGAAUUUGCUCAGAAUAUGAAAAGCAACGAUGUAGAAGUUAAUGAGAGCUUAAAGAAAGCCACCCAUCAACUCCGGGAGGAAUUACUCCUGAGAUCCGCAAUGAUGCGAUAAAUGAGUUCAUAAUGCAAAAAUUUGGCUAUAUUGUUCCUGAAUUCCAGUCAAUUUUCAGUUACUGUCACAGUACACUUCAAUUGCCCUAAAAAAAAACAUAAAACUUUCAAGAAGCAAUUUUUAUCCAUCUCUGUUUGCUUCGGAAACGAUUGUUUUCUCUUUUGUUUUCAAAACCUCUUGACUAUAACAAUUUAUGAAGAUGAUGAAAUAUAUACCAAUAUAUAUGCCUUUAAUCCAGUGGUUCUCA
Styela clava is the source of this 600-nucleotide non-coding RNA. The record is from RefSeq and is a predicted model, not a curated record. NCBI's taxonomy places the organism in Eukaryota, Metazoa, Chordata, Ascidiacea, Stolidobranchia, Styelidae.